UGGCAACCCCGAGCCAUUUUCCGCUUUCUUUAUUGCCUUCCCUCUCUUUAGCCUUCCUUUUUCCUCUGACUUCUUCGUCUGCUCUAUAGCGUGGUGGACCUGUCAGAGUCCGGAACGACACAUUUCUUUGUUUAAAGUUCUUUUCUCGUCCUCAGAGUUAUAUACUCUUCUGAUUGUGAUUGUCUCCUCUUCCUACACUGUCCAGUCGCCACUUUGGCUCUAAAGAGUAUUCGCCAUUCUCUGGCCCUCCACGUGAUAAUCUGUACAUCAUUCUGAUUUGGGUCUGAUUGUGUCUGUCUGACUCUUGGCAAUCCUUGCGAGUCACUCUCUUCUCAUUUUUGUGUGUGCAAUCCCAGAAGCCACAGGUUGUCUCUGAAUACAAUAUUCAUUCACCCAUCAGCCUACAGUCAGGCCACGAGAAAUUUAAUUCAAGGGUUCCAUCAAGGGAACAUGUUGGUUUGACCCGAGCAACUUUUUUAGCCUUCUUUUACCCCUUUUCUUUCCUCAUAUUCUUUGGUGUUACGAAAUUAAUAAUUUCGGCAACAUGUCUUUUGGAUUUGUCUCAAUUUUUUUAGCCUGAGCUUCCUUUGUGGUGACAUAAUCACUG
Long non-coding RNA from Daphnia pulex (common water flea), 607 nucleotides. RefSeq lists it as uncharacterized. The transcript has 4 exons. NCBI's taxonomy places the organism in Eukaryota, Metazoa, Arthropoda, Branchiopoda, Diplostraca, Daphniidae. The record is from RefSeq and is a predicted model, not a curated record.